AUGGUCUCCUCAUGCCACCUUCUCUGGCUGCUGGUGCUCUGGGCUCAGGAUUCCCAAGGAGCCAUUGUGAUGAGCCAAUCUCCAGCUUCUCUGUCCAGAUCUCCAGGAGAGACAGUCACCAUCAGCUGCAGGGCCAGUGAGAGCCUUACUAAAAAUAUCUUAGUAACUAAGCUUCAGUUAUUAAAUUGGUACCAGCAGAAGCCUGGCCAAGCCCCCAGGCUCCUCAUCUAUGCUGCUACCAAUCUGGAAUCCGGGGUGCCUGCCCGCUUCAGUGGCAGGGGAUCUGGGACAGAUUUUACUCUCACCAUCAGCAACCUGGAGCCUGAAGAUGCUGCAGAUUAUUACUGUCAGCAGUCUAAGAGCUUCCCUCUCCCACAGUGCUUCAGCCCUGAACAAAAACCUCUCUGGGCUCUUCAGUGGAGGCAGCUCAGAGCAGCAGCUGCUUCCUCCAUGGUCCCAGGGCAGAGCAGCUUCCACCCCUGCUGA
Gracilinanus agilis (Agile Gracile Mouse Opossum) is the source of this 486-nucleotide non-coding RNA. The record is from the annotation of a RefSeq genome assembly. NCBI's taxonomy places the organism in Eukaryota, Metazoa, Chordata, Mammalia, Didelphimorphia, Didelphidae.